This 465-nucleotide ribosomal RNA is filed under the name uncultured bacterium. RNAcentral describes it as "partial 16S ribosomal RNA". It matches the Rfam family "Bacterial small subunit ribosomal RNA", at positions 28 to 507 of the family's 1533-position model. The record is from RNAcentral.
GACGAACGCUGGCGGCGUGCUUAACACAUGCAAGUCGAACGGAAAGGCCCUGCUUGCAGGGUACUCGAGUGGCGAACGGGUGAGUAACACGUGGGUGAUCUGCCCUGCACUUCGGGAUAAGCCUGGGAAACUGGGUCUAAUACCGGAUAGGAGCUAUUUUUAGUGUGAUGGUUGGAAAGUUUUUUCGGUGUAGGAUGAGCUCGCGGCCUAUCAGCUUGUUGGUGGGGUAAUGGCCUACCAAGGCGGCGACGGGUAGCCGGCCUGAGAGGGUGGACGGCCACAUUGGGACUGAGAUACGGCCCAGACUCCGACGGGAGGCAGCAGUGGGGAAGAUUGCACAAUGGGCGCAAGCCUGAUGCAGCGACGCCGCGUGGGGGAUGACGGCCUUCGGGUUGUAAACUCCUUUCGCUAGGGACGAAGCUUUUUGUGACGGUACCUAGAGAAGAAGCACCGGCUAACUACGUG